GAGUUUGAUCAUGGCUCAGAUUGAACGCUGGCGGCAUGCCUUACACAUGCAAGUCGAACGGCAGCACGGGAGCUUGCUCCUGGUGGCGAGUGGCGAACGGGUGAGUAAUGCAUCGGAACGUAUCCUGGAGUGGGGGAUAACGUAGCGAAAGUUACGCUAAUACCGCAUAUUCUGUGAGCAGGAAAGCGGGGGACCUUCGGGCCUCGCGCUCUUGGAGCGGCCGAUGUCGGAUUAGCUAGUUGGUGAGGUAAAGGCUCACCAAGGCGACGAUCCGUAGCAGGUCUGAGAGGAUGAUCUGCCACACUGGAACUGAGACACGGUCCAGACUCCUACGGGAGGCAGCAGUGGGGAAUUUUGGACAAUGGGGGCAACCCUGAUCCAGCCAUGCCGCGUGAGUGAAGAAGGCCUUCGGUU
Molecule: ribosomal RNA, 414 nt
Filed under: bacterium enrichment culture clone ALO1_GLFRUDD03F1KQ2
Lineage: Bacteria
Also listed under: 2 other names
Description: bacterial SSU rRNA
Rfam family: Bacterial small subunit ribosomal RNA
Source: RNAcentral